Non-coding RNA from Brassica napus (rape), 105 nucleotides. Lineage: Eukaryota; Viridiplantae; Streptophyta; Magnoliopsida; Brassicales; Brassicaceae. The record is from Rfam.
UGUCUCUACGGGAAAUUAAUCUGAUAAAAUAAAAACGAUAUAAAGAAGAUUAGCACCUCCCUUUACAAGGAUGAAAAGCAAAAAAAAACAAGAGAUUAUUUUUCU